RNAcentral lists this ribosomal RNA (497 nucleotides) under uncultured bacterium. RNAcentral describes it as "partial 16S ribosomal RNA". It matches the Rfam family "Bacterial small subunit ribosomal RNA", at positions 29 to 507 of the family's 1533-position model. The record is from RNAcentral.
ACGCACGCUGGCGGCGUGCCUAAUACAUGCAAGUCGAGCGGACGGAUGGGAGCUUGCUCCCAGACCGUCAGCGGCGGACGGGUGAGUAACACGUGGGCAACCUGCCUGUAAGACUGGGAUAACUCCGGGAAACCGGGGCUAAUACCGGAUAACUCUUUCCCUCACAUGAGGGAAAGCUGAAAGAUGGCAUCUCGCUAUCACUUACAGAUGGGCCCGCGGCGCAUUAGCUAGUUGGUGAGGUAACGGCUCACCAAGGCGACGAUGCGUAGCCGACCUGAGAGGGUGAUCGGCCACACUGGGACUGAGGCACGGCCCAGACUCCUACGGGAGGCAGCAGUAGGGAAUCUUCCGCAAUGGACGAAAGUCUGACGGAGCAACGCCGCGUGAGUGAUGAAGGUGUUCGGAUCGUAAAACUCUGUUGUCAGGGAAGAACAAGUACCGGAGUAACUGCCGGUACCUUGACGGUACCUGACCAGAAAGCCACGGCUAACUACGUG